GGAGCUGUAGCUUAAUGGUAGAGGGCUUGCCUAACAUGCAUGAGACCCUGGGUUCAGUCCCCAGUAUCUGCC
This 72-nucleotide transfer RNA is filed under the name Heterocephalus glaber (naked mole-rat). It matches the Rfam family "tRNA". From Rfam's summary of the family: Transfer RNA (tRNA) molecules are approximately 80 nucleotides in length. Their secondary structure includes four short double-helical elements and three loops (D, anti-codon, and T loops). The record is from Rfam by way of RNAcentral. Lineage: Eukaryota; Metazoa; Chordata; Mammalia; Rodentia; Bathyergidae.